This is a long non-coding RNA of Gallus gallus (chicken), 2148 nucleotides long. Lineage: Eukaryota; Metazoa; Chordata; Aves; Galliformes; Phasianidae. The record is from Ensembl.
GCUGCUUUCAGAGGAGGAAAUGAAUGCAACGACUCCUGUCCAGCUCAGGAGGGGGAAGUCAUGGUUGAAAGUCCCCUCGCAGACUGAAAGAGCUGGUGAAGCAGGGGAAGAAAAGUUACAGGCCCUCAUUCCAUUCUGGAACCACUUUAUCUGAAAAAAAUGAAAGAAAGAAAAGAAAAGGAAGUUAUAGGCUUCAUGUUUCAUUUCCACAUUCUAGAUGUGGUCAGCAGCUGCAUCGUAGAAGGACAGGAUAUGGAAGCCACACAUUGGCUGCGCCAUUCUGCAUCUGAGCAAGAUUCUCCUAGCAAAAUAAAGAUUCAUUCUUGAAACAGCCAGGGACUGUGCUGUACUGUCUGUUCCCAGGAGGACUGAAGGGGAAAUUAGUCAUCUGCCAAGGAGCCAUAGGAAGGAAGAUGAUAAACUCAAGGAAAAAGAGUCACAUGCCUUUUUUUGUCCUUACUUCUAAACCCGAGUGUACUCUUGACAAAAGUAAUGCAGCAGCCAGGAGUUUUGAAUACAGGAGGGACAUAAAGUGCCUGUUAAAUGCGACCAUUGAUCUUACUUCCCUCCUUUCUAAUGGAGUAUUACAUCUUUAUUUUUAUGCUUGCACAUCAGAUGAGGUAAACUGGAGAGUGGUAUCUGUAUAGUGCUGCAAAGAAACGUGAAAAAAUGAGCUACACCUAACGUUGUCUGGAGCCCUUGCUACAGACCCACCCCAUAAUUUGGCAGCCAGGCAGAGAAGGGCUGUACCCACCCUUGCUAGGGGCACAGUUUCGCCAUUAUAGCUCUGUAGAUAAGAUAUAUAUUCAUUUCCUAGAUUAUUCCUAAUGAUAGUGGGAAAAUCUCUGAAACUUUCCAGGAUCUAAGAGAUACUUAGACUGCUGCUUACACUUGAGCAAGCCUCUUCAUUACUGGCUCUUCCACUGUUUCAUGCCUUCCCUCAGAGUUGGCCCUUUCAAUCACUUUUGUAUUGUUUUUUGGUUUUUGAAUGACAGCAUUGUGGGUUUUAUUUUCCUUCUGAAGAAACUGCACUUAUGAAUUAAGUGCAAAAAUCUCAGUGUAAGUCAGACUCAUGAUUCCCAUGAGCUUGUAGUUUUGGCAGUAUUGGUGACUUUGGAAGAGAUCAGAGACUUCUCAAGUCUUUAAUAUAUAACUACUAAUUAGAUACUGCUGCAAUUAAAUCUAAAUCAAGAUCUGCUGUCUAAGCUAUUUAGCUCUGUUAAGACAGUUUAGCCACCAAAUAAACCUGCUUUGGUGUUAGACCCAAACAACCACAUCACAAAGAUUCAAGAAAGCUUCUAGGAUCAUCGCUUCAGCGUUACAUCUGAAAAAUAAAUCUAAAUGUGCACUAUUCAUCCUGUUCUGAUGAAAUCAGCAUGAGCCUGAGCAGGCAGCACUUCUCACAGACCAAGGGCUGAAUAUUUGCUUUCCAGAUUUAACAGCACUUCAGACAAAAGUCAUUUUUUAAGCAGAUAGUUAUAAUCUGAGGCGAGAAACAUGAGAUGACGAUUAAGGCUGGCUGGAGCAAAAGAACAAACAUUCUGUCAUGAUGCUGCUGAAGCGCUCCAGAAAUAGCCCCCAUUCUGAUAUUUUCAGAGCACAUAUUUGUGCGUGCACUCUAUUAGGUCUGCUACUAAUUUGGUCAAAGUUAGUCGUGUUAAUUAUCUGUCAGUUUGGGAUGGUAAUUUUGACAACUGCUGAACAGUUUCUUCCUCAGAGUCCUCGUGAUCAUCUUCAAUGAUCUAAUCUAAUGUAUUGUCUUGAAACUGAAAUGCUUCAAGCCAGCAUUAACCACAUAAAUAAAUACAAAGCAAUAAUGUGACAUUUCCUGACAAGUGGUGGCAAAGUUUGCUUUUACAGUUGCUGUGAGAAUUAAAGCUUUUAGGAAAUGAGCACAUGUACUGUUAUCAGCUGUCAGACUUUUCUCUUUAGUCUCGCACCAUGUUUUCUUUUUCCCCCCCCCCGUAAAGACUUGUUGUUGAGGUUAAGAUUAUGCAAGAAUUCCACCUUUUAUUUUCUUUGCUGUUAAUAAUUCUCAUGUUUAUGAGGUAAUUCUCAUGGCUAUCUCAUGUUAGUUCUCAAAAAAAAAAAAAAAAAGUGAUUGUAACCCAUAAUACAUUGAAAUAAAAAUCAGUGCUUGAUGUUUUC